Molecule: long non-coding RNA, 1257 nt
Organism: Cephus cinctus (wheat stem sawfly)
Lineage: Eukaryota; Metazoa; Arthropoda; Insecta; Hymenoptera; Cephidae
Exons: 3
Source: RefSeq, a predicted model, not a curated record
AGCGUUAUCUGAUAUUAAUUUUACGUGAGGUCCGCUGGAACGUCGUAUUGUAUUUUUGAGAAUAAAUGGCUGAGAGAAUUAUCGCAUGUAAAACUAAACGCUGGACUAAGACGGUUUCAGCGUUAGAUAACCAUAAUUUAUUGGCUAAUAAACGCCCGCAGAUUGCGUAGUGUGCGCACAGUAACAAUGUGCAGCGACCUUCGUUACGUAACAGAAUGACCAGCCUAUAUUUGCAAAGAUGAAACUGUACUUCCUUAACUGGUGAACUGUCUAAAAAAGAAUCAUUUUUCUUCAUUUAGAUGAGAAAAACGUAGCUCGAUGAUUGCGAUAAAUGAAAUGAUCAAAGAAAAUCAUUCCGUGUUCUGGAUCCUGAUGCUGCACCAAUUAUUAUUCCUUACUUCGAUUCAGUUAUGAUUUCACAAUAAGGAACGACGUUGGUUACUUAUCUUAAAAUAAAAGAGAAAGAGUAUAGACACACGAACGGAUAGAUUUUGUUGCAUCAGAUUCUUGAAAAUCAUAGUUAAUGGGAAAAAUGAUUUUUGAAAAAAUAAUAGCAGGAAAAUUCCCAGUUAUAAUAACUUUACGACGUUACGUGGAACCGACAAGCGGCCGAAGAUUAAGAGAUUCCAGAGUUAAUACUUUCGGUAACGUAAUCGCAUUUUUAUCAUUCUUUGAGAAUAAAAAUCAUAGAUGUAGAUCAGGGAACAAGACUGAUUUAUCUACAUGAAAACGGUAUCCAUGAAUCAUUUGUGCUUAGAUAAUUGACCAUUCCCAUCAUUGUAAUGGACACCGUCAAAUUGCAAAUUGAUCCAAUCAAACUAGUUAUCGAGGUCAGGAGGUCAAUGGAUUUUAUGAAGAUGAUGCUGUCAUUAGACCGAUCAUCACUGACGAGGAAUCAUCUCGAACUAUAUGGACACGCAUUAAUGUCACAGCUCAACUAGCAAUGACUCUCUAACAUCGCCAGACGAUUUGCACGGAUUGGACCUCCGCUGUGAGAUCCUUGAAGAUCUCGACCAGAAGUUGGACUUGAACGAUGUUCAGAUACCGUACUCAUGCCCGAACCACCCCUGGAGGAAGUGCCACUGUUACUUCUACGGGAUCCUGAUACAAGAAACAAGCAGCUGCCAGUAGCCGCCAUCUUGGUUGAUCCGGUGCCAAUUCAACGGCUCUCUCAAAGAAAGUGAAUGCUUUCUCAGCAACCUAUUUAAAAUGACAUGUAACUGAGUGAAUUUCUAAAUAAAUAAUAGAAUUAGGAUA